GAGGAACGCAGCUAAUUGCGCGUCAACAUGUGAACUGCAGGAUACAUGAACAUUGACAUUUCGAACGCAUAUUGCGGUCCUCGGAUACUGUUCCCGGACCACACCUGGCUGAGGGUCGU
This 119-nucleotide ribosomal RNA is filed under the name Tunga penetrans (chigger). RNAcentral describes it as "partial 5.8S ribosomal RNA". It matches the Rfam family "5.8S ribosomal RNA", at positions 38 to 154 of the family's 154-position model. Rfam says of the family: 5.8S ribosomal RNA (5.8S rRNA) is a component of the large subunit of the eukaryotic ribosome. It is transcribed by RNA polymerase I as part of the 45S precursor that also contains 18S and 28S rRNA. Lineage: Eukaryota; Metazoa; Arthropoda; Insecta; Siphonaptera; Hectopsyllidae. The record is from RNAcentral.